AACGAACGCUGGCGGCGCGCCUAAUACAUGCAAGUCGAGCGAGAAGACGUAGCAAUACGUUUGUAAAGCGGCGAACGGGUGAGGAAUACAUGGGUAACCUACCCUCGAGUGGGGAAUAACUAGCCGAAAGGUUAGCUAAUACCGCGUACGCUCCUUGGACUUCGGUUCAGGGAGGAAAGCGAUACCGUGGGUAUCGCGCUCUUGGAUGGGCUCAUGUCCUAUCAGCUUGUUGGUGAGGUAACGGCUCACCAAGGCUUCGACGGGUAGCUGGUCUGAGAGGACGAUCAGCCACACUGGCACUGCGACACGGGCCAGACUCCUACGGGAGGCAGCAGUAAGGAAUAUUGCGCAAUGGGCGAAAGCCUGACGCAGCGACGCCGCGUGGGGGAUGAAGGUCUUCGGAUUGUAAACCCCUUUCGGGAGGGAAGAUGGAACGAGCAAUCGUUCGGACGGUACCUCCAGAAGCAGCCACGGCUAACUUCGUGCCAGCCGCCGCUGU
This 499-nucleotide ribosomal RNA is filed under the name uncultured bacterium. RNAcentral's name for it is "bacterial SSU rRNA". It matches the Rfam family "Bacterial small subunit ribosomal RNA", at positions 29 to 521 of the family's 1533-position model. The record is from RNAcentral.